This 3707-nucleotide long non-coding RNA is filed under the name Sus scrofa (pig). RNAcentral's name for it is "lncRNA (ENSSSCG00025017579.1)". The record is from RNAcentral. Lineage: Eukaryota; Metazoa; Chordata; Mammalia; Artiodactyla; Suidae.
UUUUUUUUUUUUUUGUCUGUCCUUGCAAUAUUUCAAAACUUUUUUUUGUUUGUUUGCUUUUCAGGGCUGAACCCGCAGCAUAUGGAGGUUCCCAAGCUAGGGGUCGAAUCAGAGCUACAGCUGCUGGUCUAUGCUACAGCCACAGCAAUGCAGGAUCCAAGCCUCAUCUGCGACCUACACCACAGCUCACGGCAAUGCCGGGGGAUCCUUAACCCAGUAAGCAAGGGCAGGGAUCGAACCUGAAACCUCAUGGUUCCUAGUCGGAUUCGUUAACCACUGCGCCAUGAUGGGAACUCCUCAAAAUCUUUCAUUAUUAUAUUUGUUAUGGAAAUCUGAUCUUUGCUGUUACUACAACUCACUGAAGGCUCAGGUGAUACUGUUUUUUAGCAAUAAAAUAUCAUUUAAAGUAUGUACAUUUUGCACACUAAUAGACUAUAGUAUAGUAUAAAGAGUAACUUUCAUAUGGAUAAACUAAAAAAAUUCAUGUGACUCACUUUGUUGCAAUAUUACCUUUAUUGUGGUGGUCUGGAACAAAGCUGCAAUAUCUCCAAAGCAUGCCUGUAAUCUAUGAGGCUUGUACAACUAGUGUACCCUUUGGGACAGUAAAUAAACUAACUUGAUAAGAAGAGGAAAAAGGGGAGUUCCCGUCGUAGCACAGCAGAAAUGAAUCUGACUAGGAACCAUGAGGUUUCGGGUUCGAUGCCAGCCUGCUGUGUAGGCUGGCAGCUGUACCUCCAAUUAGACUCCUAGCCUGGGAACCUCCAUAUGCCGCGAGUACGGCCCUAAAAAAGCAAAAAAAAAAAAAAAAAAAAAAAAGAGGAAAAAGAAACCAGCAGUGCCUGCUAUGUGCCAGAAAUGGUGGUAGAUAUUUUACUAUCAUCCUUGAACACAGGUCUGCUCAAACCCAGGGCUAGAUAGGGCCUAGAUACCUUGUAGGGUAAGGCUCAGAGGAGUCUUAGGAUGAAAGCAAUAUUUGAAGAUCACAAUGGUAGUCAGGCAGGAUAGCCUGAGAGUAGGAAGGAAAGGUUAAAUUCAAAGAGGGCAACAAGAUUUAGUCAUCUUAGGGAAAAAUGAUAAAGGUCAAGUCCUUGCUUGUGGAGAUAAAGGUAAAAAUACAAAAAUCUCUUGCCGGGAGGACAAGCCAUUUGGACAUCAGAAUGAAGAAAGCUGGCUUUGCAGAUACCACCACUGCUCAGUCAGUCAACCCCACUGUGUUUUUCAACAUUGCUGUCCAGGGUGAGCCCUUGGAUCAUGUCUUUCAAGCUGUUUGCAAUGUUGCAAAGACAGCAGGAGACUUUCAUGCUCUGAGCACUGGGGAGAAAGGACUCAGUUAUAAAGUUUCCCGCUUUCACAGAAUUAUUGUGGGGUUUAUGUGCCAGGUGGUGACUUCACAUGCUGUAAUGGCAUUAGUGGCUGGUCUAUCUGGGGAGAGGAGAAAUCUGAUGAGAGUUUCAUCCUAAAGCAUAUGGGUCUUGGUAUCUUAUCCAUGGCAAAUGCAUGACUCAACAAAAACUAUUUCCAGUUUUUCACCUGCACUGCCUAGAGUGAAUGGUUGGAUGGCAAACACGUGGUCUUUGGCAAAGUGGAAGAGGGUAUGAACAUUGUGGAAGCCAUGGAGUGCUUCGGUCCAGGCAUGGCAGAACCACCAAGAAGCUCUUUAUUGCCAACUACAGACAACUCCAAUUAAGUUUUACUUGUGUUUUAUCUUAACUUCCAGAUCAUUCCUUCUGUAGCCUCAGGAGUCCCCUCACCACCAUCACCUGCUCAAUCUAUCCUAUAAUCUUUGUGCUGUCUGAAAAUAUGACUCAACAUCUAUUCAUAUGCUGCAGUUUUUUAGGUUCUAUAUUUUCUUUCCUUCCCUCCAAGUCUAGUUGGAUUGCAGAGUUGUUUAUGUCCUGUACACUUGUGUGCAGAUGGCAGACAAAUCAAUUUUUAGUGAAUGUGAAAAACUAAAUAUCUAAGUUUCAGUGCUUUACUAAAUAAUUUAUUAUCCCACCUAUUGAUUGUCUCCUGCCAGAGAAAGGUGAGUUAGCCAGGGAAAAAGGCAGGUCUCAGCUUUCCAUACAACUGAAAGCAGGAGGUUGGGCAGAGGCAUUUUUUUUUUUUUUUCGUCUUUUUUCCAUUUCUUGGGCCGCUCCCACGGCAUAUGGAGAANAAAAAAAAAAAAAAAAAAAAAAAAAAAAAAAAAAGUCAAACAUGUUAAAGCUUCUCCAGUGAUUCAGUGUUUUUACUUGGUUAAAGGACAUCUCUAUGGAUAAAACUGAAGUUUGUGCUCUCACUACGUCAUAUCUCUCUGGCCUGGAGAUGCAGAAGUCCAGGGGAAGGGAAAGUGCACCAGGAAGCCGAAAGUAUCCCACAUGAUCUACUCCAUAGGCUAGUGAGUAAGGGUUUUUUUUUGGUCUUUUUGGGGCCGCACUCACAGCAUAUGGAAGUUCCCAGGCUAGGGGUCAAAUAGGAGCUGUAGCUUCUGACUUAUACCACAGCCACAGCAACGCGGGAUACGAGCCCCAUCUGUGUUCUAUACCACAGAUCACGUCAAUGCCAGAUCCUUAACCCACUGAGAGGGACCAGGGAUCAAACCCUUGUCCUCAUGGAUACUAGUAGGGUUUGUUAACUGCUGAGUUAUAACGGGAACUUCAUGGGGGUUAUCUUAAGCAUAGUUGAGUCUAGAUUUGCCUAAGUAUGACGAUUUUUAUUUGGGAGAUGGGUGGGUGAUCGAGAAUAAAGGGAGUGUAAAUACCCAGACUCCACAUAAGGCCUUUCUUGAAUUCAAUCUUGCUAUAACCAUAAGUUCUUAUAAAAUUUGGUCUCUUCCACGGGAUAUAUCUCAUCUCCACACACAGGAUGAGACUUUUGUUAAGCUCUGCCACACUAUAUAUUAAGUACUCUUCAAGCUCAUUGUUAAAACUGGCUUGGAAGUAGAGGGUUGUUACAAGCUCCUCUACAUCACAAACUUGGCACAUACUUGGGAAGAGAAAGGAGAAAGCAAUCAGUGGCUGGAGAGGCUGCUCAGCGUUUUUACCUUGCUUAUUCCAUUGCCCAAGUUGUGUAGAUAUUGCUGUAAUUGAAGGCUGAGUGGGGAUGUGUUAGGAAUGAGCAUCCCCCCACUGGCUUUACUGAGAUAAAAUAGAUGCAUUAAACACUGUAUAAGUUUAAGGCAUACAACAUGAUGAUUUAAUAUAUAUGUAUAUACUGCAAAACGUUUACCACAAUAAGGUUAGUUAACACAUCCAUCACCACAGUUACCAUUUUUUCUUUUUCUUUUUUUGGCUGUGCCCAUGGCCUGUAGAAGUUCCCAGGCCAGGGAUCAAACCUGUGCUACAGUAGCAAUCUGGGCCACUGCAGUGACAAUAUUGGAUCCUUAAUCCACUGUGCCACAGGAGAACUCCUUUCCUUUCUGUGGUGAAAAAUUUUAAGAUCUACUUUCUUAGUAAGUUUCAACUAUAUAAUAUGGUAUUUAACUAUAGUUACCAUGACACCUAAUUUUGCAGAGAUUAAAUGAGAAAACUCUAAAGGAAAGCACUUAGUAAUUGCUAAAUGAAUGCCCGGUAGUGAAGUCCAAUUCAUGCUAAUGCCCAGCAUUUAAAUUUUCAUGCUUAAGACAUUUAAGUUGAAGAUUCUUUACAUGUUAAUUUCAGCAGAUGUCAGAAUUAUUCAGAAUGGAAAGACAAUGAAAGCUUAACUGUAGUCAUUAGAUAUAUACAAUC